AUUUUCGGGAAUUUUAAUGUGAAAAUUUUAUUUUAUUGGGUUAUUGAAAAUGUUGGAAUUGUUGAAAUUAUUAAAGAAUUUUGGAGUUUGUGGCAUUCAUUUGCAUCAUGGUUGUAUGAAAAAAAAAAUUGUGAAAAGUGUAUGAAAUGGAAAAAUAAAAAAAAUAGUGAUGAAAAGUGAAAGCCCGUGUGAGGCGAACUAAGAAGGGAGAGAGAUCCCUAGGGUGAAAGACCCAAAAGUU
This 241-nucleotide long non-coding RNA is filed under the name Vitis vinifera (wine grape). RNAcentral describes it as "long non-coding RNA (VVIN_LNC000238)". Lineage: Eukaryota; Viridiplantae; Streptophyta; Magnoliopsida; Vitales; Vitaceae. The record is from RNAcentral.